GACGAACGCUGGCGGCGUGCCUAAUACAUGCAAGUAGAACGCUGAAGGAGGAGCUUGCUCUUCUGGAUGAGUUGCGAACGGGUGAGUAACGCGUAGGUAACCUGCCUGGUAGCGGGGGAUAACUAUUGGAAACGAUAGCUAAUACCGCAUAACAGUAGAUGUUGCAUGACAUUUACUUAAAAGGUGCAAUUGCAUCACUACCAGAUGGACCUGCGUUGUAUUAGCUAGUUGGUGGGGUAACGGCUCACCAAGGCGACGAUACAUAGCCGACCUGAGAGGGGGAUCGGCCACACUGGGACUGAGACACGGCCCAGACUCCUACGGGAGGCAGCAGUAGGGAAUCUUCGGCAAUGGACGGAAGUCUGACCGAGCAACGCCGCGUGAGUGAAGAAGGUUUUCGGAUCGUAAAGCUCUGUUGUAAGAGAAGAACGAGUGUGAGAGUGGAAAGUUCACACUGUGACGGUAUCUUACCAGAAAGAGACGGCUAACUACGUG
RNAcentral lists this ribosomal RNA (495 nucleotides) under uncultured bacterium. RNAcentral's name for it is "partial 16S ribosomal RNA". It matches the Rfam family "Bacterial small subunit ribosomal RNA", at positions 28 to 507 of the family's 1533-position model. The record is from RNAcentral.